UACGGAAGGUCCGGGCGUUAUCCGGAUUUAUUGGGUUUAAAGGGAGCGUAGGCCGUCUGUUAAGCGUGUUGUGAAAUGUCGGGGCUCAACCUGGGCAUUGCAGCGCGAACUGGCAGACUUGAGUGCACGGGAAGUAGGCGGAAUUCGUCGUGUAGCGGUGAAAUGCUUAGAUAUGACGAAGAACUCCGAUUGCGAAGGCAGCCUGCUGUAGUGCAACUGACGCUGAAGCUCGAAAGCGUGGGUAUCGAACAGG
This 253-nucleotide ribosomal RNA is filed under the name Leyella stercorea DSM 18206. Its description in RNAcentral is "Prevotella stercorea DSM 18206 partial 16S ribosomal RNA". It matches the Rfam family "Bacterial small subunit ribosomal RNA", at positions 524 to 776 of the family's 1533-position model. The record is from RNAcentral. Lineage: Bacteria; Pseudomonadati; Bacteroidota; Bacteroidia; Bacteroidales; Prevotellaceae.